CCGGCCAACAACUAGUAGCUUAUUAUUAUUAUUAUUAUUUGAAAUUUUAAAUAUUUUGACGCAUUGUUGUAUUGUGUUGACUUCUAAUUUAUCUAUUUGAUGAAAAAUAUAGGUUAUAAUGGAACGAGAAAUGAAGGUUCAUCCUAAUGAUCAUUUUCCUGGAGCAUUUUCAUGCUGUUCUCAUAUAGGAAAGACUAUUCCUAAAAUUAAGAAAAAACUAUCUCCCACACAAUUAGUCAUGUUUAGACUUAUGUUUGGUCCUCUCCUUGAUACAAACACCAUCUUCAAUGGACCACUUAUACAUUAUAUUUUUCUUCAAGAGGUAGAUGAACUUAUGAGAGCAUAUUAGUUUUAAUUGACCUUAUAAUGGAACGAGAAAUGAAAUUUCAUCAUAAUGAUCAUUUUCUUGGAGCCUUUUCAUGUUGUUCUCAUAUAGGAAAGAUUAUUCCUAAAAUUAAGAAAAAAUAAACAUGGCUAAUUGUGUGGGAGAUAAACAUGUUUGGUCCUCUCCUUGAUACAAACAUCAUCUUCAAUGGACCACUUAUACAUUAUAUUUUUCUUCAAGAGGCAGAGGAACUUAUGAGAGAUAUUAUUAGUUUUAAUCUUAUGGGGAACAAGGUAUCACUUAGCCAAAUAGAGUUUGACUUUAUCACAGGACUAAAACAUCAAACUAGAAUUGUGAGGGGAGAAAAUUCUUUUGUUAUAGAGCUAAGUAUCUAAAUGACAAUGAGGGUAUGAAGGCAUAUGAGUUGGACUCUAUUUUUCCAACACUUGAGUUUGAAAACGAUGUUGAUGUAGUGAAAAUUGCAUUAUUUUAUUUUAUUGAGUUUGCUUUGAUGGAUAGAGAGAGGAAAAAACAAAUGGAUUUUAAAAAUUUAGCUAUCAUAGAUAACUGAAACAGAUUUUGUAAUGAGGAUUGGAGCAAGAAAUUUUUUGGAAAUACAAUCAAACGAUUUAAACAAGAUUGAAAGAGCACUGGCGUAUAAGGGCAAUGCAGAUGGAAAACAACAGACGUACAGUCUUUACGAGUUUCCCCAUGCUUUUUAGGUAUGGGCAUACGAAACUAUUUCAUCAUUAUUCGGUCGCGUUGCAAACAGAUUGAAUGACAAUGCGAUAUGACGCAUUUUAAGAUGAUCAUGCUCAUAUUCUCCUCCAUAUGGAAUUAUUAGAGACGAAGUCUUCGGGUAAGGAUCACAUUGGAACUCGUUCCAUUUGAGGAAAAGAUUCAAUUUAUGAAUCGUGUUAUGGAGCUACCCAUCCUUCCAAUUGCACCAUCUGCACCCCACCUCUACCCACAAAUGAUGACGAUAUUGCUGGACCACUGGAACUACCUCAACCCACAAAUUAUGACGAUGUUGCUGGACCUUCAAACACUAAGAGGUUGAUCACAGUGAUAGUCAAUGAAGGCAUCACAGGAAGAUCAAGAAGAAGUGGAAGUAGUAUUGCAAAUUGAUUAAGUUAAUCAAAGAUUUUGAUUGUCGCAUGGAAAGUUUGGAACGUGACCUAAAGAGCAUUAAAAAGUACUUGCGAUGAUUAUCGAAGAUAAGGAUAUACCAUUGUCAUCCUUGUUGUUUGUUCUCUUCAUACGUAAUUUAUCCUAUCAUCCUAUGCAUGAUACCUAUGCACGUAGGGAAAGGACGUUGAUUACACUAAAGGUGGGGAUCAUGGAGGUACGAGUGUUCAUGCUGUGAUAAAUGAUGGUGAUAGGGACGAUCAUUCAACCUGUGGUUCUAGGUGACGAUGUUAUAGAUGAAAGGUCGGGCAUUGAUGGGCGGAAGGACGAGGUAUGACCUCGUUGAGAAGUUAACGAUCAAAAUUAUUGAUGUAAUAUUGUUGUUGAAAAGUUAGGAUAUAUUGUCAUGAUCCUUAUUGUCUGUUCUUAUCGUCGUUGUUUUUCUAUUUAGUAUGUAGGUAAAUUUAUUGUUGU
Molecule: non-coding RNA, 1927 nt
Organism: Benincasa hispida (wax gourd)
Lineage: Eukaryota; Viridiplantae; Streptophyta; Magnoliopsida; Cucurbitales; Cucurbitaceae
Source: RefSeq, a predicted model, not a curated record